RNAcentral lists this long non-coding RNA (13302 nucleotides) under Capsicum annuum. Its description in RNAcentral is "long non-coding RNA (CANN_LNC005774)". Lineage: Eukaryota; Viridiplantae; Streptophyta; Magnoliopsida; Solanales; Solanaceae. The record is from RNAcentral.
UACAAAGUCUCUAAUGAAUACUAACUGUCUAUGCCAGGACAAAUCUCCCGGUUGGACCAUAUACUGAAGGACUCGACAUAUAAGUUGUUAUGAGUCGGCAGAAAUAAAGCAGGCCACAAGCAAAAUAAUAAAUAAAAAUACACAGAUUUACGUGGAAACCAUUGCGGGACACGGGCAGAGGCAGAGGAUGUUUCACUAUAAUGCAAGGAGAGGAGUACAAUGUGGAAAAUGGGUAUUUUCUGGAUACAUAAAAUAACCCACUAAAUGUACUUAUAUAAUACGUGCAUACAAAUAAGUCCUAGGCCCAAAAAAUGCACCAAUAGAAGAGAGUUAUACAAAGCCGCAGUUGAACCUAGAUCUUCCAUAUAAAUGAGUCACAGAACAAGAAAACUAAAGACAAUGAUAGCAGCAAUCUGGAAUUCAAAGCCUCUAGUCUAUAAAGAUAUCCUAAGUCUAGUUUUAACAUGGCUAGUUAUUCAAUUAGAUUAUAAUCACAAAAGAACUUGGAUUUUUCGCAUAUCUAACAAUUGAACAGCACUCAACGAAUCCAACGUGGCACACAUCAGUGCAUAAAAAGCAAACUGAGAUAUAGUUUCAUGGACAGGUCUAGAAAAAGUCUAAUACUUUAAGGCUUCAACAUAUAAUAUCGAAGGCAUGGAAUAUCAAGAACCAAAUUCACUUGUCAAAUCAAAUAGCUAGAUAAUGAAAGACGGAUAACAACUAAGUUAGGAAACAACUUCCAACGGAUGAAAUUCAAAUUGUUUGAUGACCUCAAUCCAGCAUGGACUAAACAUAAAGAUGAACCCGAAACAUCAACAGAUUCAACAUAAAAAAACCUAUGGCUUGCCAACGCCAAUCUACAACGAACAUCUCAGCCUCAAGACAUUAACCAAAGUUGCUACUGCUAUAACCAUUACGACACGACAGUAAGGGGAAGAAUCGAGUACUAACUAGUUUUUGGGCAGCAAAACGGGAUAACGAGUUUAUGUCGAGAUGCACCUCCAUCGAAAAUUAGCAUUACCAACUCAGGAACCUCCUCCGAUUGACCGACCAACUUUCAGAAAGAAAAAGGAAAAAGAAAGUUUUCAAUAAGGGAACUAUUUUGAUCUCAAAAUUUUCUUUCCCCUCUUUUAGAAUCCUAAAAUUUCAAACUCCAGAAUUUUCAACCCUAAUUUUCAAAUACCGAAUUUCCCCUAAGUUUUUCCACCCAAGAAUUUCGAACCCAGAGGGGAAAAAAAAGAAAAUCCCCUUUUCCUUCUCUAAAGAGAGCUACUUAUAGAAGAGGAUUGAGGGUUUAUUUUUGAAAUUUAAAAAAUCAGGACCAUAACAAACUGUACCUCUAUUUUCAUUUUCUUGAACGAAAUUCCAAACAGUGGACAAUAGAAAUUGGUAGAAAGGGAAUAAUCUUUAUAAGCCAAUGAAAAUUUUCCAUCUAUGUACCAAUUCGUACUAUGGUACACGAGAUUCAUGGGAUUUGAACGUUAGGGUGAGCCAGCUCACCCAUUGCUAAAAGUUUUUCUUGAAUUUUCGUAACCAACACACGCUAUCUAGGCGGGUCAAAGUUGGUUCGACUUUGGGAAGCUGGUUUUCGCCAAUUUUUGGGUUGAGGAUGACGGGUCGGGUCGAUAUGGAUGGAUUUUGGUUGGAACAUGGUCAUUGAAUUUGGUGGUUUUGAGUUGUUAGGAUGGUUGAGAAUUUUUCUUGUUUAUGUGCAGCUUUGCUGCUUUGGAGGAGACAGGGGGGAGAAAUAAGAGAGUUGGGCCGGUCAGCCGUUCUUUGGGCCUGGGGGUUGGUGUUGUUUUGGUUUGGGCUGGCUGGUGACGGGUUGGGUCAGAUUUGGGGAUUAUUUAAUAACCCCAAUUAAAUCUAAUUGGGUUAUUAGAUAACCCUAAUUAAAUUUAAUUGGGUUAUUAAAUAACCCUAAUUAAAUUUAAUUAGAUUAGAAUAAUCAUAAUUAAAUUUAAUCGGAUUAAAAUAAUCUCAAUUAAGAAAUGAUAACUUUUGGGAUUAAGAUUGAAUUACAAUUUAAACGACUUAUUUAAAUUACAACCAAAUCGAAUGUCUAUUGGUCGAUUGCAUCACAAUUGGGCCAGUUUGAUUUCAAUUUAGGUCAUAUUUUAUUCGUUCGCUAAAUUGAAUCGCAAUCUGACACGAAUCAAGUAACAAAUUAACCUUGAGUUUCUUAAUUUGAUAAAAAUCCAACAAAUAUUCCUCCCAAUAAAAUAUUUUGAGAGCAAAUCAUAUUUAAAACCAAGAUUUUAUCCAUUUGAAUUAAUUUUCAAGUUCAAUCAAUAAAAAUCUAAUUUUGAUAAAAUGUUCAUUUAAAUAACAAAAUUUAUACACUCUCGUAUAUAUAUGAAAAUGCAAAAAAUGUAUAACCGCUAAUUAAAUGAUAAAAUCGAAUUGAAUAAGUAAUUUAAACCAGCGUUUAUUUGAACAAAAUAAUUGUUGUGAUUUUAUUUUAAAAUUGAAGAAACUAGAAAUUAAUUGGAUUUCGGAGGGCAAAAAUUAGGUGUCAACAACUGCCCCCUCCCUUUGGGUAGGGUGGAUGCAAGUAACCCUGGGCAAAGGAAGGUUGACGUUCCUAAUUUGGUUCGACCACCAAUUCGAAUCUGAAAGAGGUUAAUCUUCGCACAGGUUUCAUGGAAUUAUGGCCGAACCUCGAUAUCAGGUUUCCUACAUAUCUUAGGUUUCAUGAGAAUUCAUUCCACUUGUAGUUCAUAAAGCUUGAUUUUAAGCACGAUUUUCAAGAAAAUUCACCAACUAUCAUAGUUUUAGAGUUUUUGAUGAAACCGAGAAGUUGGGGAAUGAAGGGAUUUGGGAGGAAGUUGGAAUGCAGUCAAAUUUUCUACAUACAUUCCAGCCUACAUAUCCCCAAGAUUUCAAGAAAUCAGACUGCUUGUAGUUUGGCUCAAUUGGUAGGAAAAAUAGUCUUUUAUUUCAGACCAUCUUUGGCUCGGAAUGAGUGACAAGUUGAUCAAGUUGCGGAAAAGAGGCUUGUAACCUUUUAACCAUGAAUGUGGGAUCCUUCACAUCCAUAGGCAAGAACUUACCUGGACAUAAUUUUCAAAACUCUAAGUGUGUUGCCACCCGAAUUUGAAAGAAAGAGAAGGUUACCCUCAGCAUGAGUUUAGAAAUGUCCCAAAGGUGAAGCUGAAACCAGAAUAUCCUGAAACACCCACAUGCCUUAUAAUAGGGGUAUGGUUGGAUGGUGGUGGUGAUCAUCCUUUAUCUCCUAUCCAAAGAGUUUGACGUCCCUCUUUAGACUAUGUCCCGUUUUGCUGCUAAGAAAGAGUUCCACGUUGUGUUGUGUCCUAUUUGAAGUCAUCUGCACCUGUGGUUUUGAUUUGAGAUUUUUAUCCUAUCGGAUGCUCUCGACAAUGCUUCAAGUAAAAAGUGUUAGUGCUAAACAUAAUUCACGAAAGAGGUAUGUAGUCUUUUACAAUAUCUCCACGUGAGUUGUGGCCUGAAAAACAGAGUCAUAUCUUCAUGUAUCUGUUUGGAGUGAAAUAAAUGGCAACAACAAAAACAACAACCCUCUUGGUUGUUGUAUAAUUAUGACAUUUGUUGGUUAAAUAUGUCUUCAAAGUGGGGUGACCCUUUUGGACACCGACGAUACUUUAUGCAAAACGGUCCCUACAAUCGUGUAAUCUUGUGAUGGUGUGGCAACCCUUUUGGUUACCUAUAUCACUUGUUGUAUGUUUAAUGAUUAUCUCUCCGGUUAUAGCCGAUGAUCGAUUUAUAAAUUUUCUUUAAAUUGUUAAUCUUUAGAUAAUCUUGCGUAUUAUUUGAUGUUAGAUACAAGGCGACUUACAAAUAUCCUUUGAAUUGCUAGCUUUUAGGUAAUCCUGCACAUUAUCUGACUUUGGAUAAGAGAUGGUUUACAGAUAUCCCUCCAAUCGCUAGCUUUCAGGUGUUCCUGCACAUCAUCCGACCUUGGAUACAAUAUGACUUAUAGAUAAUCUCUCAAGUUGUUAGUCUUUGGGUAAUCCUACACAUAAUCGAUCUUAGAUAUGUCACGGCUUAUAGAACCCUUGGACGUAUCAAUUUUAUAAUCUUGCAUAUUCUUCGGUAAGGAUUUAGUUGCGACUUAUGGAUAACCUUUGAACUAUCGAUUUUUGGGCGAUCUUGCACACUAUCAGGUUAGGAUGUUGUUGUGUCUUACGGAUGAGCUACAAGCUAUCAACUCAUAGGUGAUCCUGCACACUAUCCUAUCAACUCAUUCUUAGAUAGCGACUUAAAGGCGUCCCUUUAAAUCGUGUGCUCUCGAUGCAUUCAAAUACUGGUUCAUAAAAUAAUGAGAUAUCCUUAACGCCAGCGAUGUCUUGUGUGUCAACAGAUAUAUAAUGAUGAUGAUAUCCUUGAUGACAACUUUGUGUCUUGCGUGUCAACAGAUAUAUUGAAUGCUGAUGAUAUCCUCAACACCAGCGUUGUGUCUAGCGUGUCAACAAAUAUUGAAUAAUGAUAUCCUCGAUGCCAGCGUUGUGUCUUGCGUGUUAACAAAUAUUGAAUGAUAAUAUCCUCGAUGCUAGCAUUGUGUCUUACAUGUCAACAGAUAGAUAUAUUGAAUGCUGAUGAUACCCUCGAUGCCAGCGUUGUGUCUAGCGCAUCAACAAAUAUUAAAUGAUGAUGAUAUCCUCGAGCUAGCAUUGUGUCUUGCAUGUCAACAGAUAUAUUAAAUGCUGAUGAUAUCCUCGAUGCCAAUGUUGUAUCUAGCACAUCAAAAGAUAUUGAAUUAUGAUGAUAUUGUCGAUGCCAGCAUUGUGUCUUGCGUGUCAACAUAUAUAUUAAAUGCUGAUGAUAUCCUCGACGCCAACGUUGUGUCUAGCGCGUCAACAGAUAUAUUAAAUUUUGAUGAUAUCCUCGACAACAGUGUUGUGUCUAGCACGUCAACAGAUAUUGAAUAGCCUUCUUGGGCGAUGGUAUAAUAUGGCCCUCUUAGCGAUAAUAUGCAAUAGCCUUUUCGGCAAUGAUAUGCAAUGACCCUCUCGGCAAUGAUAUGUAAUGGCCCUUUCGGCAAAUGACAUGCAAUGGUUCUUCCGGUAAAUUAAAAAUAGUUUCACCUGAAAUCAUUUGUCAGGGUCUUGCUUUCUGCAUGUACCUGUACUCAAGGUAGAUGAUUAGUGGACACAAAGUCGCUUUUGCUAGCGACUAUUUUUUUUUAGAAAAAUUCUAAAUACGAUAUUUGUAAAAAAGACAAGACACUUUUGUUUGUCCUCUAUAAUCUCAAUAAAUAAGAUGGACAAUUCUAAAGGUCGUCAAUAAAUGGGUGUUGAGCCGAUUUUUGGGCUACCAAAAGUACCAUUAUUAAUCCUUAUAUGCUCUGUCAUGGCUAUCGACUUGCUUGGAGAUUUUUCAAAAGAAACGCUCAUUUUUGUGUAUCGAUCCCUGCAUCCACAUAAAAUGAUUAGUUUGAAAGAAACUACUCCGUGUUGACCUCCUACGAUCCUUGAUUUGCCCUCGCCAUCUUUCAGGUACUUCAUCAUGUUGGGACUUCCACCCCUGACUCCCCGUCCUAAUUGAUGUCUAGGCAAUCACUAAGUAAAAGAUUUAUAUAGAUUUUUUGAAAGUACUCUUAAUUUUUUAGAAAAUAGUUUCGAGAGCUCCUGCAAAACUUUGAAAAAUCUCUGCCAGUCAUGUCAUUUGCUAGCUCAAGGACCGUCUUUCUUUUGAUUCUGACAAUGUUUGACGUUUGACGGAGGAUUUUUAGGGAUUCAGGAUUGUCAAGGCUCUCUACCAGAAGUUUUAUCAAAGACGGAGAUUCAAUCUUCUUAGACUUUAUCGCAGGUGACAAUCCUCAAAUCUCAACUUCGACCUCUAGUGUUGGGGAAUUUGAAAUAUAUUUCAAUAUUUGGUAGAGAUUUUGAGGCCUUCCUCAAAAUUUCUUCCCCAUUUUAGAGUUGUUUGAAAUGAUAUCAACACGAGUGAAUCUGAAGUCUUUGUUGGUCUUCAUUCUCUUUAUUUCUCUUGCGAAUUUUUGAGAUUCCUUCUCAAAAAUUCUGCCCCAGUUUCCAUUUCCUGGGGUUAUAUGACCGAGCCGUUGGGGCGCCUACGUAUCCCGUUAAAGCAGAAAUCAGGUCAAACGUAGUUCUGGCUACGCUAGAGAUAUAUAUAAAAAAUCUAAUGGGUUGACCAAAACCGACAUAGGCCACCUACAUAUCUCAUUCUUGAGAAUUCAGGUCAUCACGUAGUUCAUACAUAGAGGGAAAGGAUAAAUUUUUCUAAGGGGCUGACCGAAGCCGACAUAGGCUACCUACGUAUCCCUUUCUUGGGAAUUCAGGUCAAAUGUAGUUCGUACAUAAAGGGAAGGGGUUCUAGGCAAUUACACAUCAUGAAAUUGAUACUAUUAUAAAGGAGAUUACAAAUAAACCAAGAAACAAAAAUUAUAACAUCUUUCAAGCACGAUAUAUCUUUACCGCAUCAGAAUUGAUUGGUUUGGUCCACUCUUGACCAUCCAUUUCAGGUAGGAUUAGGGCUCCUCCAAGUUGGGAUUCUUUUGAUUUUCACAUUCCUCUAUAUCUACUACUAACUGCUCCUUAUCACCUUUUCUGUUCAUCAUUAUUUCUUUUGCUUUGUUCGUCGAACCCUUGACAUGACAUGAUAUUGGCAGGUUUUUAAAUUAUUGCUACCAAAAUAAAUCAUGCUAGAUAAUCAUAUUUAAAAAAAAAAAAUAACUUCUUAAAUAGAGGGAGGCCUUUUGGAAAAUAAAAUAAACUAUGGCUCAUGACCCACACAAAUGUGGGCCCAUGCCUUUUUGAAAGUUGUAAAAGACGAAAAAAAAAUUUGAGACAUAAAAGGGUGGAUCACGAGGCCUCCUUCGGAUCAUCGCCGAUUUUAAAAACUAUUAGUAAUUUCCCCUUUCAUAUACCACGAUGGUUGACAGGUUAUGAGUGGAGUGGAGGUCCAGUUUUGCAAGGCCUCCUCUGAUGCAAUCUUCUUCACCCCACAGGACUUUGGGAAAUCAUCUGGUAGAGCAUUGCAUCCUUUAAACAGAUCUCCUAUCCCAUCCCCAAGACCAUCAUCAUUUGACAUAUCAUGUACGGGAAAUGACUGGUACAAGAGCAACAAGGGUCUAAACAGACCCUCCUUUGAAUUAUCUUCAAUCUCAUCUUCCUUUCUUGGUUGGUAUCCUACUCCACGCUUAAAUUCUCUUUCCAGGACCAUAAUAGGCUCAAUAAUUCCUUCUGAAUUCUUACUCAAGGAAGCCACAACUUUCUCUAUCUUUUCCACUCCUUUUGUCUUUUUGGAGUUUCGUGAAUCCACAUUAGCAAUUGUCUCGCUAGAUACCCAUUCGUCUGCUAUUUCGAUCAUGCUAACCAUGGCUCCCUUGUGAUUAGGUAAUGGGUUAAUAGAAACAUUUAGUGCCGGCGCCUGAAGAGUGAUGAUCUUCUGGUCAAUCAAGUCCUGGAUCUUAUAUUUUAGAUUGAUGCAAUCUUCAGUAUUAUGCUCGGGAGCUCCUGAAUGAUAAGUACAGACUUGAUCGGCAUGAAAGAAUCGAGAAUUGAGAUUGGUAGUCUUUGGUGGAAUAGGCUGUAAAUAAUCGGCCUUCAUCAAUCUUUUGAAGAGAUAGGUACAACUUUCAGCCGAUAAAGUGAAUUUUCUGGGAGGCUUCUUCUCGAAGCUUACACGUGGGUGGUUAUACUAAUUUUGAUUUGCAGGAGGAGGUACUAUCAGCUUCUCGAGGCUUACACGUGGGUGGUUAUACUGAUUUUGAUUUGCAGGAGGAGGUACUUGAUGAUAGUUUGGAGGCACUUGGACAUUUAUUUGAUUGUUUAAAAGAAUAGCUUGAACAUGAGAUUGAUAAUUUGGCUGCGGAAUUUGGCACUAGGGUAAAAUAUUUAAGAUUGGAGCUUGAUAUUGGGGAUGGGCAUAGAAUACAAGCUGAAAAUUUGGUGACAGUGGUGAGGAAAGAAUAUUCCUAGGCUUGAAUUUCCUCUUCAAUUUAUCAACAAAAUCAGUAGAGACCACAUUCAUAUCCUCUCUUUUCUUCUUUAAGAAUGCAGAAGAUUCAGAUGAUGUUGGGGUUUUGGCAAUUUUUCCUGUUUGGGUGCCUUCCUCUAAAGAUUCCCCAUUCUUUACUAAAUCUGCAAAAGUUACUCGGACCACGGAUACCAACCUGGUAUAAUAUUCUCCCUCCUGAGCGCGAGAGAACACAGACACCAUUUCUUCCUCAGACAUGGGAGGUUGUGCUUUGGCAGCUUCUUUUCUCUAACGGAAGGCAUAGUCUCAGAAACACUCAUCAUUCCUCUACUUGAUCCGAUCUAAUAAAUAUCAGUAAGGGACUAUUUCAAUGUUAAAUGCAAACCUAUUAAGGAAACUUUUGGCCAAUGCCCUCCAACUAGUCCAUUUUUCAGUUCUUGAGACAUGAACCAAUCUAAGGCUUCGCCACUUAAGCUUCGGCUGAAUAAGCGCAUCAAUAAUGCCUCAUUUUUUCCUACUCCCACCAUUUGAUCACAAUACCUUCUCAGAUGAGCCAUUGGAUUUCCGAUGCCAUCGAACACUUCAAAUUUAGGGACCUUAUACCCUUCUGGUAGAUCUACUCCAGGGUGAACACAUAAAUCAUCGUAACCUAACCCGUCUUGUUCUCCGCUCUAUGAUAUUCCUUGAUCCUCAUGAUCUCUUCAUUCAUAGCUAGCAACUUUAUUUCAUGCUCGGUCCUCCACUCUUUCUCUUUCUCCUCGUAAUGGUCCACCUCGGGAUUAGGAAGGAAAUUAUAGAUGUUAGGGGAUAUGAUGACAUGAGAAGGAUUUGGAAAGACAGCUUGAUUUUGUAGAUGAAAGGAAGUUGGUAAGUGGGUGGGGAGAACGUUUCGGAAAUUGGAAAAGUUUUAUGGAAUUUGAGAGUACCUUGGUAGGAUCUAGGAGGGAUUCUGCGGAUUCAAAAAUAAAGUUUGUGGGUUUGGAGAUAGAUUUGGCAGAUUUGGUAAAUCUGGGGAUGGAUUUUGUGGAUUUACCAAUGGGUUCUGGGGAUUUGAGAAUGAAUUUUGUAGAUUCAGAGAAGGAUUUUGUGGGGUGAGGGAUGAAUUUUGUGGAUUGUAAGCAUCUGGGUUAUUUUCAUGAUUGGUACUUUGGAUAAGUGGAGGGGCAGCGGCGGACGAUAUGUUAUUUGGAUGAUCCCCAAGAAUAGACGUACUGAGGGGAGGGAUUUGGAGUGGAGUCUCGUGUCCUCUUGGAGCGGGAGCAUUGAGAGUGAUGGCCAGGUUAGACAAAUCUCGAGUACGAUUUAUUUUCUCCUAAAGCAUUUCUAGCUUUCUUGUGAGUUCCGCAAUCAUCUCACUCUGUUCCGCUAUUACAUUGUCCCUGAUGGUCAAUGUAUUUUCUUCUUCAUUUCCAGUCAUUAUUGAAUGAUGGUUAGAGGAUAGAAUUUUGUGCGCUUUUGAGGUGAAGUAAGGAUGUUCUGCCAGCUUAUUUCAACACGGAGUAGUUUUCUAUUAUCAGUAAAGUAAAAUAACUCAAAGGCAAAUGUGUUAGUUUCCACGUGUGAUAAGCAAUGCAAAAUACUUGACAAGAAAUAGCCACGUAGAGUUGUUUGUGUCAUAGCCAAAUUCAUCUAUAGGAGCAUAGCGGAUAAACUUGUCUUUGAUCCAAACAAAUGCACAUAAACACAUAAGAACAUAAUAAUGUGUAUCCUAACUGGGGUGACCCUUUUGAGCCAAGGGUUUGGGCCUAACAAUUUUUGAAGAAAAAUAUAUGCUUGCUUAAGGUUAAUCCAUUAUUUCCCAACUUUAUAGACACUAAAAGGGCAUAAAUGCCUACAAAAGAUAACAAAAGAGGGAUACAAUCUUUAGGGAAAGGAAAAUAACAUGAAAGAAGACACAUUCCCACACAGGGGAUAGAAAAUACUAACUCCUGGGUGCUUCUUCUGUCAGCCUUCGUCUUCUUAGCUUCGUAUAUUUCUUAUAUUGGUGACAUCCGUUGACGUUCAAACUGUGCCUUAGAUGCAACCUCCCAAAUCGAUUAAUUUCUUGCUUAAAUUGCUUCAAUUCUUAUUACGAAAGUAAGCAAAUCAAGCUUUUUCCCCACCCUAAAGGAUAAUGGAUUGAAUUAGAAAGGCAUACAUUUUCUUCAACACAUAAAUAUGAUUCAUCUAUAAUUGACUCAGGGUCAAUAAACGCAGGGCAGGUUUUCUAUUAGGCCCAAUACCUCGCUCUGGUAUUGGGCCGUCCUAGGCUCAUACUUAAAUAGGGUUUUGGUUUUGUUGUUUCCUAGGUGUCUAGAGUGGGUUUGAACACUGGUUCUCAAGCGGACAACUUUAGUUUGAAAAUACGAACAUCCAUCAAAUGACUCAUGUGCUAAUAAGUCAUUCGUAUUUCCAACACUUUAUUGGAAUUGAACAAUAGGGGCCGGGACAUCCACGAAACCCUAAAACAGUUUAAAUAAUGAAGGAAUAUACCAUGAGAUCCGAUAGUUAAACUUUACAGAAUCGAAAUAUAUGAAAACAUGAAUAGUUAACCAAAGGACGAAAUCAAACAUUUGGUUAGAACCUAGUUACAAAUCCCCAGCAGAGUCGUCAUUUCUGUUUUGCGAAAAUUUUAACUUUUGAAAGAGAGUCACCACUUAAUUUUGAAAAAGAAAUUAAGAAACCUUUGUAAUGUACUUAGACGAUUCAAAAUAGAAAAAUCAUUUAAGUUAAGAGAUUCUAGAUAAGCGGUUCCUAUUAACGUUUUAGGAAGGUGUUAGGCACCUAAAACGUCCGCUAACUUGCAGUUAUCUGGACUGUUUGGAAAUCGUCUUGACUAACUUUGGAAAAUCGAUUUAUUGGAGAAAAGAUUGGUUAGGGAAAAGUUUUUUCAAAAUCAAUUUUUAGCGACUUAGUUAGGGAUUUAACUAGGUUCGCAAGAAGCAUGUAAAAACAAGUACGAAAAAGGAAAAGGGAAAAGGGAAAAGGGGAGAAGUAGUGAAUUAGGCUUUUAAGCCCAAACCGUCAACCUGUCCUAGUCUAGAUGUUGGGCUUUUGGCCCGUCUUCCACUUGUCCUAAUUCUAUGUUUUCGAGCCCUUUUUGGCUCGAGUUUUCACUUCGCCUGUAUUAGAUACAACUUUGGCUUCAAGGCCCAAAUGAAUGACUAAAUUAAUAAACACAUAAAUAAAUAACUGAAAAUAAAUAAAGCAACAAUAAAUAAAUAAAGCAAAAUAAGACUCUUCGACUCUCUUAGUUACUUCAAUAAGGGUGCCUUUGGAUCCAUUUUUUCUUCUUCCAUCUUCUUGCCUUGGUAUGCCUCAUGAUCGACUUUUAGACUUGGUCUCGGAGUUGACUCGAUAGAGAUGAUGGGCCUCAAGAUCCCAUGAUGAAUAUGCAAAAGGGAAAGAGUCCAUGUAGGACUCAAAUGAUUCUUCGAAAAGGACAUAUUAGGAAUUAAUACAUGUUCACAAAAAUGAAUUAUUCGGACAACAAAGAAACAUGAAUCAAACUCAUAUAUAAGAAACAAAUAUGGAGGCCACAAGGACCGGUAAUGAAAGUUUAGACAAAAACCACAACAUACCCCGUAUAUUGCCACCAAGUGGGGUCUGGGGAGGUUAAGAGUAAACAAUCCAUGCCACUACCUCACAUGUGAGAUAGAGAGGUUGUUUCCGAUUAACCCCCGACUCAAACUAGAAAAGGGAAAUUGAUCUUUAAAAUAAUCUGCACAACUGAAUGUUGAUAGAUCUUUCAAGGAUAGUCCACUAAAUGGCUCAAGGUGAAUUAUAAGUAUAGAUAACAAAAAAAAUUCCUUAAUAGGCAUAGAGAAGGAUGAAUACUACUGUUUUAGAACCCAAAUUCCAACUGAUACAUAUACUAACAUGGUACUAAACAGGAUUCUCUUUGAAUGGUCCUUUUAUUUGAGUCGUAAAAUUUCUAACACAAAAGUUCUACUUGAGGUUAAAUGCACCAACAUAAGAGAGUUAUACAAAGCCGCAGUUGAACCUAGAUCUUCCAUAGAAAUGAGUCACAGAACAAGAAAACUAAAGACAAUGAUAGCAGCAAUCUGGAAUUCAAAGCCUCUAGUCUAUAAAGAUAUCCUAAGUCUAGUUUUAACAUGGCUAGUUAGUCAAUUAGAUUAUAAUCACAGAAGAACUUGAAAUUUUCGCAUAUCUAACAAUUGAACAGCACUCAACGAAUCCAAGGUGGCACACAUCAGUGCAUAAAAAAUAAACUGAGAUAUAGUUUCAUGGACAGGUCUAGAAAAAGUCUAAUACUUUAAGGCUUCAACAUAUAAUAUCGAAGUCACGGUAUAUCAAAAACCAAAUUCACUUGUCAAAUCAAAUAGCUAGAUAAUGAAAGACGGAUAACAACUAAGUUAGGAAACAACUUCCAACGGGUGAAAUUCAAAUUGUUUGAUGACCUCAAGCCAACAUGGACUAAACAUAAAGAUGAACUCGAAACAUCAACAGAUUCAACAUAAAAAAAACUAUGGCUUGCCAACGCCAAUCUACAGCAAACAUCCCAGCCUCAAAACAUUAACCAAAGCUACUACUGCUACAAUCAUUACGACACAACAGUAAAUGGAAGAAUCGAGUACUGACCGGUUUUUGGGUAGCAAAACGGGAUAACGAGCUUACGUCGAGAUGCACCUCCAUCGGAAAUUAGCAUUACCAACUCAGGGACCUCCUCCGAUUGACCGACCAACUUUCAGAAAGAAAAAGGAAAAAGAAAGUUUUCAAUAAGGGAACUAUUUUGAUCUCAAAAUUUUAUUUCCCUUCUUUUUGAAUCCAAAAAUUUCAAACUCCAGAAUUUUCAACCCUAAUUUUCAACUCCCGAAUUUCCCCUAAGUUUUUCAACCCAAGACUUUCGAACCCAGAAGGGAAAGAAAUGAAAAUCCCCUUUUCCUGCUCUAAAGAGAGCUACUUAUAGAAGAGGAUUGAGGGUUCAUUUUUGAAAUUCAAAAAAUCAGGACCAUAACAAACUGUACCUCUAUUUUCAUUUUCUUGAACAAAAUUCCUGAAAGUGGACAAUAGAAAUUGGUGGAAAGGGAAUAAUCUUUACAAGCCAAUGAAAAUUUUCCAUCUAUGUACCAAUUCAUACUAUGUUACCUGAGAUUCACGGGAUUUGAACGUUAGGGUGAGCCAGCUUACCCAUUUCUAGAAGUUUUUCUUGAAUUUCCAUAACCAACACAUGUCACUAGGCGGGUCGAAGUCGGGUCGACUUUGGAAAGCUGGUUUUCCCCAAUUUUUGGGUUGAGGAUGACGGGUCGGGUCGAUUUGGAUGGAUUUUGGCUGGAACAUGGUCAUUGAAGUUGGUGGUUUUGAGUUAUUAGGAUGGUUGAGAAUUUUUCUUGUUUAUGUGCAGCUUUGCUGCUUUGGUGGAGAAAGGGGGGAGAAAUAAAG